UUUAAUUAAUUGUUUGAUUAAGAUGGUUGAAUGUAAGAAAAAUAAUUUAAAUUAUAAAAAGUAAUUUUUAAUAAAAUUUAUUGGAAAACAAAAGUGAAUAAGUACUGUGAAGGAAUGUUGUAUAAAAAUGUUUUUAGUAAAGGUAAAAUUUUGUAUCUUGUGUAUUAGAGAGGGCUAAUAUGGUUUAAGUAUUAUAGAAAUCUCGAAAUAAGCACAGUUAAUUGUAAAAUAAGGAAUUUUGUAGAAAAUAAAUCCUGAAUAUAUAAUUAAAGAUGAAAUAUCAGUCGAGGUUUAUUAUAUCUAGUUUUUUUAAAAUAAAUUUAAUUUUUUCUUUAUGUAAGUAGAUAUAAGAUAUAAAGAGGAAAGGCAGGAGGGGCAAGCUUCUUGUAAAUUAUAAAAAAUAGCCAAGUUGGAAUUUAAGGAAUUAAUUAGGCUUAAAAGUAGCUAUAUUAAUAAAGUGUUUUAAUUAAAUUUGUAAUAUUAAAAUGAUUUGUAUUGGCUUUUAUUUGUAUAAAAAGAUUAGUUCAAUUAAGGUAAAUUGAGUUAUAAUGGGCUUAUAAGUAGAAUUAAUGUAUUUUUGGAAGUUGUAAAAUGAAGUUUUUUAGGAUAAAUUGUAGUAUUAAAGGAACUUGGCAAAAUAUUUUUUUGCCUGUUUAUCAAAAACAUGUCUACUUGAAGAUAUAAGGAGUCUAGCCUGCUCUCUGAUUAUUAUUUAAGGGCCGCGGUAAUUUGACCGUGCAAAGGUAGCAUAAUAGUUAGUUUUUUAAUUGGAAUCUUGUAUGAAUGGUUGAACAAAAGAAAUACUGUCUCUAUAAUUUUUAUUGAAUUUAACUUUUAAGUGAGAAGGCUUAGAUUUAUUAAAAAGACGAUAAGACCCUAUAAAGCUUUAUAAGUAAUUUUAUUAUAAUUGAUUUAUUAAUAAUGUUUUAAUAAGUUAUAUUAUUUUGUUGGGGAGAUAAUAUUAUAAUUAUGAUUAACUGUGAAUAAUUGAUACAAUUAUGGGUGUGUUGGUUGUAGUAAAAGAUCCUGUUAUACAGAGUGAGAGUUUAAGUUACUUUAGGGAUAACAGCGUUAUUUUUCUUGAGAGUUCAUAUCGAAAGAAAAGAUUGCGACCUCGAUGUUGAAUUAAAAUUUCUAAGUAAUUGUAGUAGUUAUUUAAGAAGGUCUGUUCGACCUUUAAAAUUUUACAUGAUUUGAGUUCAGACCGGCGUGAGCCAGGUUGGUUUCUAUCUUUUAAAGAGGAAGAGAUUACUUUAGUACGAAAGGAUUAGGUAAUCGAAAAAAUUUUUGUUUAUU
Molecule: ribosomal RNA, 1296 nt
Filed under: Arcotheres purpureus
Lineage: Eukaryota; Metazoa; Arthropoda; Malacostraca; Decapoda; Pinnotheridae
Description: 16S ribosomal RNA
Rfam family: Archaeal large subunit ribosomal RNA (bases 600-1296)
Source: RNAcentral